This 87-nucleotide transfer RNA is filed under the name Candidatus Blackburnbacteria bacterium RIFCSPHIGHO2_01_FULL_43_15b. RNAcentral describes it as "tRNA-Ser". It matches the Rfam family "tRNA". From Rfam's summary of the family: Transfer RNA (tRNA) molecules are approximately 80 nucleotides in length. Their secondary structure includes four short double-helical elements and three loops (D, anti-codon, and T loops). Lineage: Bacteria; Candidatus Blackburniibacteriota. The record is from RNAcentral.
GGAGAGGUCAGAUAGUGGUUCAUUCUACGCGCUUGGAAAGCGCGCGAGCGCAAGCUCACGCGGGUUCGAAUCCCGCCCUCUCCGCCA